This 228-nucleotide long non-coding RNA is filed under the name Phaseolus vulgaris (common bean). Its description in RNAcentral is "long non-coding RNA (PVUL_LNC003330)". Lineage: Eukaryota; Viridiplantae; Streptophyta; Magnoliopsida; Fabales; Fabaceae. The record is from RNAcentral.
UCGUGCUAAGAAGUGCAUUUUCUUGGGUUAUGGCUUAGGGGUUAAAGGCUAUCGUUUAUAUGACCUAGAAUCUCAUAAAGUAAUUCACAGUCGGAAUGUGACCUUUAAUGAAAAUGCUAUGCUCUCUUCUGCAAAAGAUACUGUCAUUUCCUCAAUUGAUACAGGUGACCAAGAAGAUGCUCGAGAGAAGGUGGAGUUUGAGAUUAAAACACCCGCUCAUGAGGAAGA